ACCAGAACAUCGACCGUCAUUUUCUGAUAGUUUCCUGAUGAUUCUACACGUUGAGUCUCCGCCAGUCGUCGACACCACUGUCCUGCUGCUUUUAAAGGUUCCUCUUCCUGUUUCGGUUAGAAGAAGACACACGGCAAAAAGCUACUGACGCUGAGGUUGAGCGAUCAAGUCAUCUUAUGACGUGACGCAAAGCGGCAUUAAACCUUCUGGAAACUUCUUUUUAUGACUCUCUUGUCCUGUGGCGUACGUGUUUCUAUCGCGUGCGAUGUGGUGGCGGUGUUGCCUAUAGCAAUCUUCCAAGCGCUCUCCACGCCUGCAUCCUGAGAGGGCGAUACCUAGUCCCCUUAGCCUAAUGUAGAGGUCAAAGGGCGAUACCUAGUCCCCUUAGCCUAAUGUAGAGGUCAAAGGGCGAUACCUAGUCCUCUUAGCCUAAUGUAGUGGACUGUUUAGAACACAGGAAGUCCUUAAAACCUAUGAACACACUGUCUUAAUAAUGGGACUGACUGUCUACUUAUAGGGGGGCUGCCUGCUUUCUGCUAAGUCAUGUUGCAGGGUUGGCUAGCCAACAACUUUACAAGAGUUGGCCUCUGAAAAUUACACUGUCAUUUGGGUGAAAAGCUGAGCGACUGAAGAGACCGAGACGACUAUUUGGAUCUGUAUAUUGAAAGAGUUUCUGAAAAGGGUUUCGUGUUCGAUGCCCGUUUUUAUAUUCCUAUACUUAUCUUGUAAAACCGCAUAAUGAUUUGCGUGUAUGAAUGGCUUUUAGAUGUCAAACUAGUUACAGCUUCAGAAUGACAGGAAAGAGCUGUACAUAUUAGCCUUAUAUCGGUGUCCACUGUUAUCGCGUGGGUUAUAAUUAGGCUCAUGCUAUGCUAUGCUAUGCUAUCUAUACUAAUACAUUGCUGUUAUCGCUGACACAAGUUGUUCUGUUUUAGCCUUCUCACGUUCUGAUUGACAUUCACACCUCUGAUCAGUGCAAUUCCUUCUGGGGGGGGAAAAAAAUCUAAGUUAAUUCUAAGUUAAAUAUUUUAGUUUUUUUCUCUCGUCUCCCAUUUUGAUUUCUUCUGUCUUUAUGAAAUAAACCUUUUUAUUGAGUGAUUUAAAUGAAAUAUAUUUUCUCGGGCAUUAAAAGAGGAUUGUGCUGAA
Oncorhynchus mykiss (rainbow trout) is the source of this 1146-nucleotide non-coding RNA. Lineage: Eukaryota; Metazoa; Chordata; Actinopteri; Salmoniformes; Salmonidae. The record is from RefSeq and is a predicted model, not a curated record.